AUGGCUAACAGCAUCUGGACCUCACCGGAGAUCACGUCACCUGCCACGGUCUGGGAGCAGACCAGGACGCUCAAUUUCGAGGUGACCGAUUACCUGCAGCUCGAUGGCAUGGGUGUCGGCGAGUCCAUUAGUUCGCCCGUCGUCCAAGUCGGCGGCUACCAGUGGAAGAUCAAAUUCUACCCAGACGGGAUCGACGAGGAAUGUGACGGCCACGCCUCAGCGCUUGUGCGCUGUUACAGCCAAGACACGGAUCCGAAUGUGACCGCCAAGUUCAAGCUGAGCAUCCUAGAGAAAAGGAGCCAGGUAAAUGUAUCCAGCUUCGAUGCGCCGAUGUGCAUCUUCUCUCCGUGCGAUUUCCCUACAUGGGGCUACCAGAAAUUCGUCGACAAGUCCAAGCUGGAAUCGCUGUCGCAACUCGGGGACGGCUGCUUCACGAUACGGUGUGUCCUCACCGUCGUCACCGACGAGCCACCGUCUCGGGGGCUGUCUCGGGAGCUGCCCAGCCAACUCUCCAGCCAACUCGAGAGCAUGCUCGAGGACGGGAGAGGCGCCGACGUCACGUUCCGCGUGGGCAGCCACAAGUUCCUGGGGCACAGGUGCGUUCUGGCGGCGCGGUCGCCGGUGUUCAGUGCUCAGUUCUAUGGCCCCAUGGCGGAGAAGGACAAGCCGCGCGUCAAGGUCGUCGACGUGGAGCCGGCCAUCUUCCAGAUGAUGCUUCGCUACAUCUAUACAGACUCAAUGCCGCCACCGCCGCCGCCCGCUGAAGGAUACAGCGUCGCGGUGAUGCAGCACUUGAUGGUCGCGGCAGACAUGUAUGGGCUGGAGAGGCUGAAGCUCAUGUGUGAAGAUGAGCUGUGCAACAUUAUGGAUGCAUCGACCGUUAUGAGCACGUACGCGCUGGCGAGUCAGCACCGCUGUAAUCGACUCAAGGAUGAGUGCGUAGAAUUUAUGUCGUCAAAAGAAGUGUUGGCCGCCAUCCUCGAGACCAGUGAGCGCUUCAUGCCACGUUGCCGACCACUGCCAUUGGAGGGGGAUCAUGAAGAGGAAGAAGUUGAUCAAUGCAAGAAAUUCAAAAGGACUCGUACAAAAUAG
This 1092-nucleotide ribosomal RNA is filed under the name Triticum aestivum (bread wheat). RNAcentral describes it as "partial small subunit ribosomal RNA". Lineage: Eukaryota; Viridiplantae; Streptophyta; Magnoliopsida; Poales; Poaceae. The record is from RNAcentral.